UGGGGAAUUUUGGACAAUGGGGGAAACCCUGAUCCAGCCAUCCCGCGUGUAUGAUGAAGGCCUUCGGGUUGUAAAGUACUUUUGGCAGAGAAGAAAAGGUAUCCCCUAAUACGGGAUACUGCUGACGGUAUCUGCAGAAUAAGCACCGGCUAACUACGUGCCAGCAGCCGCGGUAAUACGUAGGGUGCAAGCGUUAAUCGGAAUUACUGGGCGUAAAGCGUGUGUAGGCGGUUCGGAAAGAAAGAUGUGAAAUCCCAGGGCUCAACCUUGGAACUGCAUUUUUAACUGCCGAGCUAGAGUAUGUCAGAGGGGGGUAGAAUUCCACGUGUAGCAGUGAAAUGCGUAGAUAUGUGGAGGAAUACCGAUGGCGAAGGCAGCCCCCUGGGAUAAUACUGACGCUCAGACACGAAAGCGUGGGGAGCAAACA
Molecule: ribosomal RNA, 427 nt
Filed under: Alcaligenes sp.
Lineage: Bacteria; Pseudomonadati; Pseudomonadota; Betaproteobacteria; Burkholderiales; Alcaligenaceae
Also listed under: 2 other names
Description: partial 16S ribosomal RNA
Rfam family: Bacterial small subunit ribosomal RNA
Source: RNAcentral